AUGCAACCCUACAAUGCAAGUUCAAUCCAGAAAAUAAUCAUUAGCACUCGUACAUCCACGGUGCGAAUUACAGACAUAUCUACGCUAAUUGCAAACCUACCUCAGAUCAUUACUAGGCUUGCCGUUGGAACAUAUCGUUGCCCUCAUGCUAUCAUUUCAUACUUGGAACCUGUUAUGCCAUGCAACAUCACAGAAUAUCAGCCUCGCACUCAAGCAAACAAAACUAAUUCCCUUGCUCAAAAUCAGAAGCAAAAACUCAGAACAGAAAAUAUAAAAGAGGAUGGAAGAUGA
Non-coding RNA from Vicia faba (fava bean), 291 nucleotides. The record is from the annotation of a GenBank genome assembly. Lineage: Eukaryota; Viridiplantae; Streptophyta; Magnoliopsida; Fabales; Fabaceae.